This 748-nucleotide long non-coding RNA is filed under the name Marmota monax (woodchuck). Lineage: Eukaryota; Metazoa; Chordata; Mammalia; Rodentia; Sciuridae. The record is from RNAcentral.
UAUUAUUAUUUUAUUUUAUUUUAUUUAGUUGUAGAUGGACACAAUACCUGCAUUUUAUUUAUUUAUUAUUUUUAUGCAGUCCUAAGGAUCAAACCCAGGGCUUCACACGUGCUAGGCAAGCACUGUACCACUGAGCUACAACCCCAGGCCCACAUAGUCCCAAAUCUUUACUUCCCACUAGACUUCCUAUCCCAGUAGAUUGCUCAGGCCAACCUUGGAGUAACACCUCAUCCUUUUCAUUCUUCCCUCCCAUUUAUAAUCCACCAGCAAAUCUUGGGAGUCUACCUUUCAAAAUACAUCUUGAAUCUGCUAAUUUCUCUCCUCUACUCUAGGAUAUCACAUUUGACCUGCACUUGCACAGUGGCCUCUGCUAUCUGGCUUUCUGUCUUGUGAUUUUCUACAGAACAGACAGAAUAGCUCUUAUAAAACUAAAGCUGAUCUUGGUGCUUCUCUGUUCAAAAUCUUCCAACAGCUUCUCCCUAUCUUCUUCAUUUGGAUAUGACUGUGAAUCAUUCUCAUUACCCAUGUCCCUUCAGCUCUUGCUCAAAUGUCCCUUCACCAGAGAGGGCGCCUCUGGUAUCUUCUCAAAAAUGCUAAUUCCUGCAAGGCAGGCGGCACCCACCAUAAUGCCAACCACUGGGAGGCUGAGGCAGAAGGAUGGCAAGUUCCAGGUCAGCCUCAGCAAUUUAGGGAGUCCCUGUCUCAAAAAAGAAAAUAAAGGCCGGCUAUGCUGGCACACGCCUCUAAU